This 127-nucleotide non-coding RNA is filed under the name Eutreptiella gymnastica. The record is from RNAcentral. Lineage: Eukaryota; Euglenozoa; Euglenophyceae; Eutreptiales; Eutreptiaceae.
AAAUUAAGACAAAUAAAAGAAAAGAAAGAAGGAGGAAAGAAAAAAAAAAACUUCAGGUAAAUAAAAUUGGUUGGUGUGUGGGUGGUACCUUUGUGUUUUAAUGGUGUGUUUUGUGUGUGGUUUUAUU